This 67-nucleotide transfer RNA is filed under the name Caeparia donskoffi. Its description in RNAcentral is "tRNA-Ile". Lineage: Eukaryota; Metazoa; Arthropoda; Insecta; Blattodea; Blaberidae. The record is from RNAcentral.
AGUAAUUUGUGCCUGAAAAAGGGUUAUCGUGAUAGGAUAAAUUAUGUAAUUUUAAUUACCUUUACUA